AUUGAAUGAGCUUGAAGAAGUCAAUCAUUCAAUAAAAAAAAUAUGAAAUAAAAAAACAUUGCCAUACCAUGUACCUCGUCAGAUGUAUUUGUACCGCUGUCAAAAGCAUAUGACUGAUCGAUUGAUAUAUAGAUUCUUAUUUCAAUUUUUCGAAAUUGUAAUUUUUCCCCUAAAAAUGUGUUUUUGAACUCGAAUGUCAACCACACGUGGACGAUUAAAGUUGACUGAUUAUCUGUUCGAACAAUAUAAAGGAUGAAACAAGAAUACGAACUUCAAGUCUGUUCUGAUUCUUUUUGAUCGUGGUCAUGGUUUAUCUUGUCAGCUAUUAAUCAAAAGGACCAGGAAUUUCCACGCGAGUGGUUCCUUCAUUGAAGAGAGGACACGGGAUAGAUAGAUUCUAUAAAAGAUCAUUCUACCAGAUGGCCCGUGCCCGUAACGAACAGAGAGUCUUCUCAUUUCUUUUUUUCAUUUUUCUCUUUCUCAACUUUUCUUUUUGCUUGUCCAUAGUAUAACCAUGAUGCAACGUUUUUCACGAUUUUCUAUCUCAAGAUGUAUGUACACAUAUUUCUAGUAUUGUUAUGUUCGAAUACUUUUGCAAAAAUAGCGUGAAAUAUAAAUACAAAGCAAAUCGAUCAUAUCAAUAAUGAUGUCAAAAUUUCGCGAUCAUAGAAAUAUAAAAUUUGAUCUAAUGAAAUAAAUACUAAAUAUUUAGAACUUAUAUAUAUUCACCAAUUAAAAUAAAAUUUUUUUAUUGCAUUUACCAUUACAGAUUAAUAACAGAA
Molecule: long non-coding RNA, 782 nt
Organism: Apis cerana (Asiatic honeybee)
Lineage: Eukaryota; Metazoa; Arthropoda; Insecta; Hymenoptera; Apidae
Source: RefSeq, a predicted model, not a curated record